This 27-nucleotide non-coding RNA is filed under the name Mus musculus (house mouse). Lineage: Eukaryota; Metazoa; Chordata; Mammalia; Rodentia; Muridae. The record is from RNAcentral.
UAAGUGCCAAAAAAAUCCUCCCAGAAC